AAGUCGUAACAAGGUUUCCGUAGGUGAACCUGCGGAAGGAUCAUUAUUAAUCCGAGCGAGGGAGAGUAUGAAGAGUAUUCUCCCUUUCACCAGUUGAAAUGUGUCAUCCAAAGAGUCUUUGGAUACUCGACAUCACACAAUCAUACUAUCUAUUCAUUGGUACAACUCGCAGCAACGGAUCUCUAGGCUCUU
RNAcentral lists this unclassified non-coding RNA (192 nucleotides) under fungal sp. Its description in RNAcentral is "partial internal transcribed spacer region". The stretch from base 1 to 46 matches the Rfam family "Eukaryotic small subunit ribosomal RNA", at positions 1786 to 1831 of the family's 1831-position model. The record is from RNAcentral. Lineage: Eukaryota; Fungi.